AGAUGCAGCAACAUAAGCAUACCUUACCCAUUUGGUAUCAGUGCCGGGUGCCACCGUGAGGGCUUCAAGCUUGCCUGCAACGAGACAUAUCAUCCCCCAAAGCUCUUCAUGAACAGUUCUGGCGUCGAAGUGCUUGAAAUAUCAGUGCAAGACAGCACCCUGUACAUUGACAGUGGGAUCCUCACCUUGGCGGGGGAUGAGUGGCCCGACGGUUACAUCCAUAUGAAUUGGUCAGUCCCCCUCGAUGAAAGCCUAUAUAGGGUGUUAGCAGACAGGAAUAAAAUCGUUGUUAUGGGGUGUGGAAUCAUUGUGUUUCUUCAAUGGCAUUCUCCCGGCACAGAACCUGCAGGUACCACUUGUCGCCCAGGAUGCAUGCCGGGUCAUCCUGUGAUAGCAACUGAUGGCACAUGUGCUGGUGUUGGUUGUUGCAGUGCAAUGAACGUGCAACCUGACUCAAAUAUGUUUUCCAUCAAGUACAGCGUGGAGAAAGAGAACUUGCAGGUCAACUCAAGUCUUGCUUUGGUGGAGAGCAAAUGGUGGAGCAAGAAGAAGAAUGCCAUGGUGCUGCAGAAGGCGGUGUCAUCUGACACCAGCCUUGGUGCCUCCAAAGGCGUACUACACUCCAUACCAGGAGUACCAGUUAGAACGGCUGUCAGUUGGGUGUUCAGUAACUUGUCAUGUGCUGAGGCUAGCAGCAAUUCAAGUGACUUUGGAUGCCUCAGUGAAAACAGUGAGUGCCUUGUGUACCAUAAACCUGACGACUCAAGAGGAGGUUACACAUGCCAGUGUUGGCAUGGCUACGAAGGUAACCCUUACGUGCAACACGGAUGCCAAGAUAUCGACGAGUGUACAAGUCAAGGCGAGUACUCCUGCUUUGGCCAGUGCAUCAAUCUGAUAGGGUCAUAUACCUGUACCUGUCCGCAUGGCACCACUGGUAACCCCCGAAAACAAAAUGGAUGUUCUUCAACCAAAUCAGCCAAAUCAAGAUUUGUCACUGCGGUAGGAAUAGGCAGUGGUGUGGGCACUCUUCUAAUUAUCCUCAGCGUUCUGAUUGUAAGACAAAAGCUCAUGGUUUGGAAAGCAAGGAAGUCAAGAGAUUUUUUCUUCAAAAAGAACAGAGGGUUGUUGCUACAGCAGCUUGUAGACAAGCAUAUCGCUGAAAGGAUGAUGUUCAAAUUAGAAGAGCUUGAGAAGGCAACAAAUAAGUUUGACGAGGCUCGGAAACUUGGAGGUGGAGGCCACGGCACUGUCUACAAAGGGAUUUUAUCUGACAAACGUGUUGUUGCCAUCAAGAAGUCAAAAGUUGUAAUUCUGAGAGAAACAGAUGAUUUCAUCAAUGAGGUUGCCAUCCUUUCUCAAGUGAACCACAGGAAUGUAGUGAAGCUUUUUGGAUGUUGUCUUGAGACAUAAGUUCCAUUGUUGGUCUACGAAUUCAUUUCAAAUGGAACUCUUUCUGAUCAUCUUCAUGUCAGCACUCCACUAUCAGUGCCCUCGAAAGAUCGGCUAAGAAUAGCCCUUGAAACCUCAAGAUGCCUUGCUUAUCUGCACUCAGCUGCUUCAGUAUCAAUAGUCCAUAGAGAUAUCAAGUCUGCCAAUGUACUACUUGACGAUCACCUCAGAGCAAAAGUAUCAGAUUUUGGAGCUUCUCGAGGCAUCCCCAUCGACCAAACUGGAGUUACAACUGCCGUUCAAGGAACUUUUGGAUAUUUGGAUCCUGAGUAUUACCACACACGGCGACUCACCGAGAAAAGUGAUGUGUAUAGCUUUGGUGUCAUGCUUGUGGAGAUAUUAACAAGGAAGAAGCCAUGUGUCCACCUGUCAACACCAGGAGCCAGUCUAACUGCUGAAUUCAUCUUGAGAGUAAACCAAGACAAACUCUUCGAGAUGCUAGACCAGCAAGUCAUCGAGGAAGGGUCUGAAGAAGCCAAAGAAGUUGCAGCAGUAGCACUGAUGUGCUUAAGCUUAAAGGGUGAAGAUAGGCCUACAAUGAGGCAAGUUGAGACAAAACUUGAAGUGAUGCAAACUGUGGAAAACAAUACACCAAUGGAACAGAACAAUGCCAAUGCUGAUGAUGACAACUUCAGUAGGCGAUAUAGUAUGGAGGAAGAAUGCAUGUCAUCUAUGAGUUUGCCUCGGUAA
Molecule: ribosomal RNA, 2139 nt
Filed under: Triticum aestivum (bread wheat)
Lineage: Eukaryota; Viridiplantae; Streptophyta; Magnoliopsida; Poales; Poaceae
Description: partial small subunit ribosomal RNA
Source: RNAcentral